AAACACUUCAGACUAUACCAUGGGUUCAAAGACAAGAGAGACCUACACUGUAGAGGAGCUGCAGCAGCUGGACGCAGACGAUACCGGACGGCGAGAGAGGGCACAGUGGGUGCUGAAUUCUCCUGAUCCACCAGGUCUAUUGCACGAUAUUAUCAGUUCAGUUAAGGACGUUGCCUUCCCUCUUGGACACACAACUGCAAAGCAAACUACCAGUAGACGUGCCGUAUCAUUCUUGAAAGGCCUGUUUCCAAUCCUUAGCUGGGGUAGGGAUUACAGAUUUUCUAAGUUUAAAAACGACCUAAUGGCAGGUUUAGCACUUGCAAGCCUUAGCAUUCCUCAGAGUAUCGGAUAUGCUACUUUAGCAAAACUCGAUCCUCAAUACGGCCUAUACACCAGUUUUAUUCCCCCUCUGAUUUAUGCUCUAAUGGGGAGUUCAAGAGAAAUUGCCAUUGGGCCCGUAGCUGUGGUAUCUAUGCUGCUUUCCUCUAUGAUUCAGGAGAUAGAAGAUCCUGCAACUGACCCUGCUGCAUAUAGAAAGAUGGUUCUAACUGUUACCUUCUUUGCUGGAAUCUUCCAAGCUGUAUUUGGAUUGUUUAGGUUGGGAUUUCUUGUGGACUUUCUUUCACAUGCUGCCAUUGUUGGAUUUAUGGGGGGUGCAGCCAUUGUUAUUGGUCUUCAGCAACUGAAAGGGCUACUUGGGAUCAAUCAUUUCACCAAUAAAACUGAUUUAGUCUCUGUCCUGGAGUCUGUUUUCACAUCAAUAGACCAUCCGUGGUCCCCUCUGAAUUUCGUCCUGGGCUGCUCAUUCCUUAUCUUCCUUCUAAUUGCCAGGUUUAUUGGCAGGAGAAACAAGAAGCUCUUCUGGUUUCCAGUCAUUGCUCCUCUUAUAUCUGUGAUAUUAUCCACUUUGAUAGUGUUCUUGACAAAAGCUGAUAAGCACGGAGUAAAGAUUGUAGAACAAGUCAAAGGAGGCUUGAAUCCAAGUUCAGUCCAUGAAUUACAAUUCAAAGGACCACAUGUUGGACAAGCAGCCAAAUUUGGCCUCAUUUCUGCCAUUGUUGCUCUUACCGAAGCUAUUGCUGUUGGCCGGUCUUUCGCUUCCAUAAAAGGCUAUCACCUUGAUGGGAACAAAGAGAUGUUAGCUAUGGGCUUCAUGAACAUUGCAGGAUCUCUGACUUCCUGUUAUGUGGCAACUGGUUCAUUUUCAAGAACUGCUGUGAAUUUCAGUGCAGGGUGCGAAACUGUAUUAUCCAAUAUAGUGAUGGCUAUUACGGUGUUUUUGUCACUGGAAUUUUUCACUAGGCUCCUGUAUUACACUCCCAUUGCAAUCCUGGCUUCAAUCAUUCUAUCAGCUCUUCCUGGACUCAUUAACAUCCAUGAAGCUUACUACAUCUGGAAGGUUGACAAGCUAGACUUCCUUGCCUGCGUCGGUGCUUUCGUUGGCGUCUUGUUUGCAUCAGUGGAAAUCGGGCUUCUAGCUGCGGUAACCAUCUCAUUUGCCAAGAUAUUGCUAAACUCCAUUCGACCAGGCAUAGAAGAACUUGGAAGACUUCCAAGAACAGAUACCUAUUGUGAGAUAAAUCAAUAUCCCAUGGCCAUCAGAACUCCAGGAAUUUUAGUAGUCCGUGUCAACUCUGCCCUACUUUGCUUUGCUAAUGCCAACUUUGUAAGAGAAAGGAUACUGAGGUGGGUGACAGAAGAAGAGGAUCAUGUAUCUAAUGAAAACACAAAGGAAGGGAUUCAAGCAGUAAUUCUUGACAUGUCCAAUGUAACAAACGUAGACAUUGCAGGAAUUCUUGCACUAGAAGAGCUGCACAAGAAGUUGCUCUCACAUGAAACAGAGUUGGCCAUAGCCAACCCAAGAUGGCAAGUAAUUCACAAGCUAAAGUUGGCGAAAUUCACGGAUAAAGUAGGAAGUGGAAGGAUUUUCUUCACAGUUGCUGAAGCCGUAGCUGCAAGCAUUAGCACUCCCAAUAACUGUUGAUGGAUUUUUGUGGGCUUUUUGCUUAUAUGGAGAAUUUUUUUGUGUAAAAUUUUGUAAGAUCCUAUUUCUAGAUAUGGUUUUGAAGGAUUGUGAUUGUAAGCAUUCUGAGCUCACGUUUGUAGCUGCUUGAUGGCUCAGGAAAACAAGUUAAUAGAGGGGGAAAUGACCGGGGGAAAUGACCGUACAAGGGUGAAUUGGAAACUAAAAUUACUAAAAAUGGGUGUGAUGUGUAAAAUUUACCAGAAAUGGGUGAGAAAAGAAAAGUCAGAGAGUUAAAAACGCUAUUAUUAGUAGCGUUUUAAUGUCCAAAACGCUAUUAACAAUAGCGUUUAAAAAAAACGUAAAAAAC
RNAcentral lists this unclassified non-coding RNA (2333 nucleotides) under Hevea brasiliensis (rubber tree). The record is from RNAcentral. Lineage: Eukaryota; Viridiplantae; Streptophyta; Magnoliopsida; Malpighiales; Euphorbiaceae.